This 399-nucleotide ribosomal RNA is filed under the name Triticum aestivum (bread wheat). RNAcentral's name for it is "partial small subunit ribosomal RNA". The record is from RNAcentral. Lineage: Eukaryota; Viridiplantae; Streptophyta; Magnoliopsida; Poales; Poaceae.
AUGACGAUCCUUAGUUGGAACUGUCGAGGUCUCGGGCAGCCUCAUACAGUUCAAGAAUUCGUGUGCCUCAUGCAUACAUAAAAGCCCAAGCUCGUCUUCCUCACUGAGACACGGCAAAAUAAUAAGUACGUAAGCAACCUCAAGUGGAGGCUGGGCCUUCGUCAUUGCAUCACGCAACCCGGUAUCGAAAAAGGUGCCGGCAUUGUUCUCUUUUAUGAUGAAAAUGUGGAAAUAAAGAAGAUUGCUGUAGGGGCGAGAUACAUCGAUGUGUUGGUCCGGUUAAAUCCUCAUGGCCUACAAUGGCGAGGUACUUUUGUUUAUGGCGAAACGAAAGCACACGAACGCCACCUAAUGUGGACUCUACUAAGAAGAAUCAAAGAUACCAAUAACCUUCCGUGA